GAAAAAAUUAAAUGUGGAAUUCUAUUUUCCAGAGAUGAUGGUUCAGACCAAUAAAAUAAAAGACAACAGCUUAACCAAAGCUCCAAUGAAGUGCCCAACAAGCUACAAUCCUGAAAAAAAAAACAAUUGGUUGCCAAGAGAGGACAG
Monodelphis domestica (gray short-tailed opossum) is the source of this 147-nucleotide non-coding RNA. NCBI's taxonomy places the organism in Eukaryota, Metazoa, Chordata, Mammalia, Didelphimorphia, Didelphidae. The record is from RefSeq and is a predicted model, not a curated record.